This 231-nucleotide unclassified non-coding RNA is filed under the name Exidia sp. Its description in RNAcentral is "partial internal transcribed spacer region". The stretch from base 1 to 47 matches the Rfam family "Eukaryotic small subunit ribosomal RNA", at positions 1785 to 1831 of the family's 1831-position model. The record is from RNAcentral. Lineage: Eukaryota; Fungi; Basidiomycota; Agaricomycetes; Auriculariales; Exidiaceae.
AAAGUCGUAACAAGGUUUCCGUAGGUGAACCUGCGGAAGGAUCAUUAAAGAUUCGGGCUUCGGCCUACCCUCUUCAGCUGUGCGCUUCGGCUGCACGCUGUCGAAACUCUCACACCUGUGCACCUUUUCGGUUGCGGCGUUCGCGUCGCUUCCGCUUUUACGUUUUACAACAGUCCAGAAUGUAACAAACCAUAAACGAAACAACUUUCAACAACGGAUCUCUUGGCUCUC